Molecule: ribosomal RNA, 480 nt
Filed under: uncultured bacterium
Lineage: Bacteria
Description: partial 16S ribosomal RNA
Rfam family: Bacterial small subunit ribosomal RNA
Source: RNAcentral
GAUGAACGCUAGCGGCAGGCCUAACACAUGCGAGUCGAGGGGUAGAAGGAGCUUGCUCCUUUGAGACCGGCGCACGGGUGCGUAACGCGUAUGCAAUCUACCUUGUACAGGGGAAUAGCCCAGAGAAAUUUGGAUUAAUGCCCCAUAGUAUAUAACCUUCGCAUGUUGGUUAUAUUAAAGUUCCAACGGUACAAGAUGAGCAUGCGUCCCAUUAGUUAGUUGGUAAGGUAACGGCUUACCAAGACGAUGAUGGGUAGGGGUCCUGAGAGGGAGAUCCCCCACACUGGUACUGAGACACGGACCAGACUACUACGGGAGGCAGCAGUGAGGAAUAUUGGUCAAUGGUCGCAAGACUGAACCAGCCAUGCCGCGUGCAGGAAGACGGUCCUAUGGAUUGUAAACUGCUUUUAUACAGGAAGAAACCCUCCCACGUGUGGGAGCUUGACGGUACUGUAGGAAUAAGGAUCGGCUAACUCCGUG